RNAcentral lists this ribosomal RNA (833 nucleotides) under Neurospora sp. Its description in RNAcentral is "partial large subunit ribosomal RNA". It matches the Rfam family "Eukaryotic large subunit ribosomal RNA", at positions 69 to 935 of the family's 3401-position model. The record is from RNAcentral. Lineage: Eukaryota; Fungi; Ascomycota; Sordariomycetes; Sordariales; Sordariaceae.
CAGGGAUUGCCCUAGUAACGGCGAGUGAAGCGGCAACAGCUCAAAUUUGAAAUCUGGCUUCGGCCCGAGUUGUAAUUUGUAGAGGAAACUUUUGGUGAGGCACCUUCUGAGUCCCUUGGAACAGGGCGCCAUAGAGGGUGAGAGCCCCGUAUAGUCGGAUGCCGAUCCAAUGUAAAGUUCCUUCGACGAGUCGAGUAGUUUGGGAAUGCUGCUCAAAAUGGGAGGUAAAUUUCUUCUAAAGCUAAAUAUAGGCCAGAGACCGAUAGCGCACAAGUAGAGUGAUCGAAAGAUGAAAAGCACUUUGAAAAGAGGGUUAAAUAGCACGUGAAAUUGUUGAAAGGGAAGCGUUUGUGACCAGACUUGCGCCGUUCCGAUCAUCCGGUGUUCUCACCGGUGCACUCGGGGCGGCUCAGGCCAGCAUCGGUUUUGGUGGGGGGAUAAAGGUUCAGGGAACGUAGCUCCUCCGGGAGUGUUAUAGCCCUGGGCGUAAUGCCCUCGCUGGGACCGAGGUUCGCGCAUCUGCAAGGAUGCUGGCGUAAUGGUCAUCAACGACCCGUCUUGAAACACGGACCAAGGAGUCAAGGUUUUGCGCGAGUGUUUGGGUGUAAAACCCGCACGCGUAAUGAAAGUGAACGUAGGUGAGAGCUUCGGCGCAUCAUCGACCGAUCCUGAUGUAUUCGGAUGGAUUUGAGUAAGAGCGUUAAGCCUUGGACCCGAAAGAUGGUGAACUAUGCUUGGAUAGGGUGAAGCCAGAGGAAACUCUGGUGGAGGCUCGCAGCGGUUCUGACGUGCAAAUCGAUCGUCAAAUCUGAGCAUGGGGGCGAAAGACUAAU